UUAACCGAAACCAAGGAGGAGGUAUACUACUGUUAAUAGUAACAAUGAGAAUUUAUUUUUCCGGUUAAA
RNAcentral lists this transfer RNA (69 nucleotides) under Cryptocephalus aureolus. RNAcentral describes it as "tRNA-Asn". Lineage: Eukaryota; Metazoa; Arthropoda; Insecta; Coleoptera; Chrysomelidae. The record is from RNAcentral.